Molecule: non-coding RNA, 196 nt
Organism: Glycine soja
Lineage: Eukaryota; Viridiplantae; Streptophyta; Magnoliopsida; Fabales; Fabaceae
Source: Rfam
AUACCUUUCUCGGCCUUUUGGCUAAGAUCAAGUGUAGUAUCUGUUCUUAUCAGUUUAAUAUCUGAUAUGUGGGCCAUUGGUCCACACGAUAUUAAAUUACUUUUUUAAUGGGGAGAGUCCAUCACAGUAGCUUGCUAUUGGGACUCUCAUGUGUCGCCCAUGCGUUGCACUGUAGCACGGGCCUGGCACACCCUAU